CAAAGUGAAGUUUGUAAAACAUCAAAGUAGCUACACGGUGCUGGAUCAGGUCCUGGGUACUACAACAUCUUAGUAGCCAUUACAUUUUAUGUUUUUAUGAUAACAAUAAACGUAGCCUAGAAUAUUAAGAAUUCCUGGUCUUGGACCCACACAUUAUUGGGGCACCUAGUAUAGAAACUGAGUUCUGAAUAGCACUUUAAAUUAACACCGUACAUGUAAAUAUUAACAGUCCCCAGGUAGCAUUUAUUGUUACUUCUCAAUUAAUACACUUUAUUUUACCCUGAGCAUUAUGAUGUUUUGCUAUUAUUGGCAGGUUCAAGAAGAUGCUAGGAACUUGCCAUCCCUUUCCUCCAUCAAGCCGUUUAAACCUCCUGAAAUGUACCUGUGAUCCUUUGCUUCUGUUGAUUUGAUAGCAUGAGAAGAAUGGAUUUGAAAGGCGAUAAUGGAAAGGAUGCAGAGGCACCAAUUUGGAAUUUACUGUGAUGUUUUAGGCAAGAGACGGUUUUGGCAUCUUGUCUAUUAUGGCCGUGUACCACCUUCAUGUCCAGGGAAAGGAGCAAUAGUGUGCUGUGUAAGAGGCAGAUUUGCUGAGAGCUGUUCAGGUACACCUGGAAUCAUAUUCAAUUCAGGCUAAAACAGUAUAUUCCACACCAUUCACAGGUCAGUUUGUGGCAAAAAGAGCAUACCU
RNAcentral lists this long non-coding RNA (688 nucleotides) under Cercocebus atys (sooty mangabey). RNAcentral describes it as "lncRNA (ENSCATG00000045899.1)". Lineage: Eukaryota; Metazoa; Chordata; Mammalia; Primates; Cercopithecidae. The record is from RNAcentral.